CUUCAGCACCAAUCAAUAAGGACUGCAGAUGGGGAAAGAGAAAAGAAUUCACCAGGAAAGGAAGAAUGGAGCAAGUGCUGAAAGGAGGAGGGAGAGAUAUGUCUUUGGAGAGGAGUAGGGGGAAGUGCACUUUCAGGAAAAGGCCAAGAUGAACAUCUUACCAGAAGCUGUAGAAGAACCACGUGGUUCUAGGGUGAGAUUCAACAAGUCCCAGGGAAUCGAUAGGUGGCCUAAAUCCAGUUUAGUAGAGAAAACCACCUUGAUGCAGUCAGGAAAGGAGAAGGUCCACAGAUCACAAGGCAAAAGUUGCUGAUGCUUCCUGAGCCAACAGAAAGCAGCCAGAAGAUGAUCACUCACACAGCAGCAGUUCAAGCCCCAACCAGCUGCCCACUCCACAGCUGCACAAUGUGAUGCAAUAGUUCCGGGCUAUUAAUAGUCUCUCCCAAGGAGUCCCAAGCUGGUACUGGACAGGCCUGAUUGAGGAUCCUGAUUUGUUGCCCCUUCAAACAAGUGCAGUUAAAAAAAUUAAACUAUCACUUAUAUAUUCCGA
Non-coding RNA from Heterocephalus glaber (naked mole-rat), 550 nucleotides. The record is from RefSeq and is a predicted model, not a curated record. NCBI's taxonomy places the organism in Eukaryota, Metazoa, Chordata, Mammalia, Rodentia, Bathyergidae.